Molecule: transfer RNA, 67 nt
Filed under: Ochthebius remotus
Lineage: Eukaryota; Metazoa; Arthropoda; Insecta; Coleoptera; Hydraenidae
Description: tRNA-Gly
Source: RNAcentral
AUUUAUAUAAUAUAAAAAAUUAUAUUUGACUUCCAAUCAAAAAAUUUAACUUUAGUUAAUAUAAAUA